Molecule: transfer RNA, 65 nt
Filed under: Melipona scutellaris
Lineage: Eukaryota; Metazoa; Arthropoda; Insecta; Hymenoptera; Apidae
Also listed under: 1 other name
Description: tRNA-Trp
Source: RNAcentral
AAAAUUUUAAGUUAAAUAAACUAUUAAUCUUCAAAAUUAAAAAAAUAUAAUUUAUAUAAAUUUUA